This 73-nucleotide transfer RNA is filed under the name Macaca nemestrina (pig-tailed macaque). RNAcentral's name for it is "tRNA-Asn". It matches the Rfam family "tRNA". From Rfam's summary of the family: Transfer RNA (tRNA) molecules are approximately 80 nucleotides in length. Lineage: Eukaryota; Metazoa; Chordata; Mammalia; Primates; Cercopithecidae. The record is from RNAcentral.
UGGAUCAAAGCCAGUCGAUUNGGGUGUUUAGCUGUUAACUAANUUUUUGUGGGUUNGAAUCCCAUUGAUCUAG